This 301-nucleotide ribosomal RNA is filed under the name uncultured bacterium. RNAcentral's name for it is "partial 16S ribosomal RNA". It matches the Rfam family "Bacterial small subunit ribosomal RNA", at positions 509 to 807 of the family's 1533-position model. The record is from RNAcentral.
CAGUCGCCACGGGAAUACGUAGGGUGCAAGCGUUGUCCGGAAUUAUUGGGCGUAAAGCGUGCGCAGGCGGUUAUAUAAGACAGAUGUGAAAUCCCCGGGCUCAACCUGGGAACUGCAUUUGUGACUGUAUAGCUAGAGUACGGCAGAGGGGGAUGGAAUUCCGCGUGUAGCAGUGAAAUGCGUAGAUAUGCGGAGGAACACCGAUGGCGAAGGCAAUCCCCUGGGCCUGUACUGACGCUCAUGCACGAAAGCGUGGGGAGCAAACAGGAUUAGAUACCCCCGUAGUCCCUGUCUCUUAUAC